Molecule: ribosomal RNA, 488 nt
Filed under: uncultured bacterium
Lineage: Bacteria
Description: partial 16S ribosomal RNA
Rfam family: Bacterial small subunit ribosomal RNA
Source: RNAcentral
AUUGAACGCUGGCGGCAGGCCUAACACAUGCAAGUCGAACGGUAGCACAGAGAGCUUGCUCUCGUGUGACGAGCGGCGGACGGGUGAGUAAUGUCUGGGUAACUGCCCGAUGGAGCGGGAUAACUACCGGAAACGGUAGCUAACACCGCAUAAUUUCGCAAGACCAAAGAGGGCGACCUUCGGGCCUCUUUUCCUCGGAUGUGCCCAGGUGGGAUUAGCUAGUUGGUGAGGUAAUGGCUCACCAAGGCGACGAUCCCUAGCUGGUCUGAGAGGAUGACCAGCCACACUGGAACUGAGACACGGUCCAGACUCCUACGGGAGGCAGCAGUGGGGAAUAUUGCACAAUGGGCGCAAGCCUGAUGCAGCCAUGCCGCGUGUGUGAAGAAGGCCUUCGGGUUGUAAAGUACUUUCAGCGGGGAGGAAGGCAAGGCGGUUAAUAACCGUGUUGAUUGACGUUACCCACAGAAGAAGCACCGGCUAACUCCGUG